Molecule: transfer RNA, 65 nt
Filed under: Malthopsis jordani
Lineage: Eukaryota; Metazoa; Chordata; Actinopteri; Lophiiformes; Ogcocephalidae
Description: tRNA-Cys
Rfam family: tRNA
About the family: Transfer RNA (tRNA) molecules are approximately 80 nucleotides in length. Their secondary structure includes four short double-helical elements and three loops (D, anti-codon, and T loops). Further hydrogen bonds mediate the characteristic L-shaped molecular structure. tRNAs have two regions of fundamental functional importance: the anti-codon, which is responsible for specific mRNA codon recognition, and the 3' end, to which the tRNAs corresponding amino acid is attached (by aminoacyl-tRNA synthetases). tRNAs cope with the degeneracy of the genetic code in two manners: having more than one tRNA (with a specific anti-codon) for a particular amino acid; and 'wobble' base-pairing, i.e. permitting non-standard base-pairing at the 3rd anti-codon position.
Source: RNAcentral
AGUCCUGAGGUGUCAUCACGUGAGAUUGCAAAUCUUAAAAAGUAGGCUAAAACCUGCCGGGACUU